UAGGGAAUCUUCCGCAAUGGGCGAAAGCCUGACGGAGCAACGCCGCGUGAGUGAUGAAGGUCUUCGGAUCGUAAAACUCUGUUAUUAGGGAAGAACAAAUGUGUAAGUAACUAUGCACGUCUUGACGGUACCUAAUCAGAGAGCCACGGCUAACUACGUGCCAGCAGCCGCGGUAAUACGUAGGUGGCAAGCGUUAUCCGGAAUUAUUGGGCGUAAAGCGAGCGUAGGCGGUUUUUUAAGUCUGAUGUGAAAGCCCACGGCUCAACCGUGGAGGGUCAUUGGAAACUGGAAAACUUGAGUGCAGAAGAGAAAAGUGGAAUUCCAUGUGUAGCGGUGAUAUGCUCAAAUAUAUGGAGGAACACCAGUGGCGAAGGCGUCUUUCUGGUCUGUAACUGACGCUGAUGUGCGAAAGCGUGGGGAUCAAACAGG
Molecule: ribosomal RNA, 429 nt
Filed under: Actinomycetes bacterium
Lineage: Bacteria; Bacillati; Actinomycetota; Actinomycetes
Description: Actinobacteria bacterium partial 16S ribosomal RNA
Rfam family: Bacterial small subunit ribosomal RNA
Source: RNAcentral